AGUGAACGCUAGCGGUAGGCCUAACACAUGCAAGUCGAACGGCAGCACAGUAAGAGCUUGCUCUUACGGGUGGCGAGUGGCGGACGGGUGAGGAAUACAUCGGAAUCUACUUUUUCGUGGGGGAUAACGUAGGGAAACUUACGCUAAUACCGCAUACGACCUACGGGUGAAAGUAGGGGAUCUUCGGACCUUGCGCGAUUGAAUGAGCCGAUGUCGGAUUAGCUAGUUGGCGGGGUAAAGGCCCACCAAGGCGACGAUCCGUAGCUGGUCUGAGAGGAUGAUCAGCCACACUGGAACUGAGACACGGUCCAGACUCCUACGGGAGGCAGCAGUGGGGAAUAUUGGACAAUGGGCGCAAGCCUGAUCCAGCCAUACCGCGUGGGUGAAGAAGGCCUUCGGGUUGUAAAGCCCUUUUGUUGGGAAAGAAAAGCAGCAGGUUAAUACCCCGCUGCUCUGACGGUACCCAAAGAAUAAGCACCGGCUAACUUCGUG
RNAcentral lists this ribosomal RNA (492 nucleotides) under uncultured bacterium. Its description in RNAcentral is "partial 16S ribosomal RNA". It matches the Rfam family "Bacterial small subunit ribosomal RNA", at positions 29 to 507 of the family's 1533-position model. The record is from RNAcentral.